Molecule: long non-coding RNA, 1567 nt
Organism: Pogona vitticeps (central bearded dragon)
Lineage: Eukaryota; Metazoa; Chordata; Lepidosauria; Squamata; Agamidae
Source: Ensembl
UGAUUUUACUGUUGUGCUACUUCAUGGUCCGUGAAUAAGCCUUUGGCUAAACAACAAGGAUUUGAAAAUCAGAUGCACUGACUGUGUUUCAACACUAGAGGUUACCAUGAAAGCAUUGGUGGCCAGCGGGGAGGGGGGUCACUCAAGAAAUACUGGGCCAAAAGCACUGAGUGCUUUCUGGCAUCUACUUGGAAUAAUUCCCCCACCCACCCACCGUUAAGAAGCUGAGACAGUGCAGAACAUUUGUUACACCUUUACUACUGCAUAUUUUGUCUUUCUACCUGUGCAAAAUUAAAAGAAAGCUUCUAUGGAUCAUACAUUCCCUUCAGAACAGAGGCAGCAAAAGGUGUAGAGUGAUUUAGAAUGAUGAUGAUAGUCAGCACUUGGGAAGGCCAUGUGCCACUAAUGUUUAACCAUUUUGCUACAGUUUGCUAUUCUUUUGCAUGUCAUACACACACACACCCAAAUUUCCAGAUGACCAUGUACGUAAUCAGCACACUAGCUAAUAAGAAAAAUAAAUUAUAUUGGUCAUGAAACUGUUUUUGGACCAUAGCUUGCUUCCGAUCAGAGAUGGGCAUGAAUCACUGGUUCAUUGGUUUGUAAUGGCUUGUUCUUGGGAUGCAUAGGUGUUCCAUAUGUUCCCUCCCCACCUCUUUGGGUAGGCGCCCACUCAGAGAAGGAGGCAAUAAAGCCCGGACAUGCCUUUGAAUGGCAGCAGAGAUAAGGGCCAGGCAAUAUGGAGUAUAAAGGCUGCUGCAAGAUUAAGAAGGUGGAAGAAAUAGAUCUGUCUCUAAGACACACGCACAAGACGCACAAGAGCAGCUGCUGAGCAUUAUCACAGGCUGAAUAGAUGUUUCGUAACCUUUUCUCUUGAAGGAAGGAAGGAAGGAAGGAAGGAAGGAAGGAAGGAAGGAAGGAAAACUUCAUGCUCAUCUCCUUGUACAUCUUAAUUAGUUUGGAAGGAAGGAAGGAAGGAAGGAAGGAAGGAAGGAAGGAUCAAUUAAAAAGACUGCAUAUGAGAGGAUAUGAGAGUGACAGUGGGAGUGUGGAAUAUUGGAAAAAUACCAGGAAAUAUUCAGUGAUGUGGUGUGGCUACGAAAGAGGGCACUUGCCCACCUGAAAGAAUGGGAGAUUAUAAUGCAAAGAAAAAGAGGAGAUAGGAAUGAAUGUGCUGGAUCUAGAAGAUAAUGUCUUUGGAAUGCAGGGAGAUGUCCAGGGAGAUGACACUUUGUCAUUGGUUAAAAACUGAAAUGAGGCCUUACAAAUAGCAGAGAAGGGAAACAAAAUGCAAGGGAGAUAGGGAAAGUUACAGAAUAUUGAAUGCGGACUUCCAAAGAAUAGCAAGAAGAGACAAGAGGGCCUUCUUAAUUGAACAGUGCAAAGUUAUAGAGGAAAAUAAUAGAAAGGGAAAAACCAGAGAUCUGUUCAAGAAAACUGAAAAUAUUAAAGGAACAUUUUGUGCAAAGAUGAACAUGCUAAAGACAAAAAUAGUAGGGACCUAACAGAAGCAGAAGACAUCAAGAAGAGGUGACAGGAAUACACAGAGGAAUUAUACCAGAAAGAUCUA